RNAcentral lists this transfer RNA (92 nucleotides) under Erwinia phage vB_EamM_Stratton. Its description in RNAcentral is "tRNA-Ser". It matches the Rfam family "tRNA". From Rfam's summary of the family: Transfer RNA (tRNA) molecules are approximately 80 nucleotides in length. Lineage: Duplodnaviria; Heunggongvirae; Uroviricota; Caudoviricetes; Chimalliviridae. The record is from RNAcentral.
UGGAGAAUUGUCCGAGAGGCUUAAAGAGCUCCCCUGCUAAGGGAGUGGUGGCGGAAGCUGCCCGUGUGUUCGAAUCACACAUUCUCCGCCAA